AGCAGAAUCAGCUUGAAGACUAACAAUCGGGACUACGAAGGCGAGGAAGAGAAGGGGAUUCCUCAUGGUAACUGAACAACCCAACACUGAAAAUGAGAAAGAGAGAGAGAUUUGGAACAGGGCAAGGAUGAAUCAGAAGGAAAUGGGGGAAGAGAGUUCCAUCUUCUUUCUUUGGGAAUUCAUUUCCUUCUUUCCUUCUAGUGAACUUAGGAAUUUGAAGGGGGGAAAUGGGUUUGGUUUGGUUUUGCUUGGGAAUCUCUGUGUUUAGUUCAAAGAAUCAAAGAGGCCAUCUUGUUGUUGCUCGCAUUCCAAUCCCACUUUCGUCUCUUCGUUUUGAAAUGGUGUUUAGAGUUCGAGUCUGGAUUUUUG
RNAcentral lists this unclassified non-coding RNA (369 nucleotides) under Hevea brasiliensis (rubber tree). Lineage: Eukaryota; Viridiplantae; Streptophyta; Magnoliopsida; Malpighiales; Euphorbiaceae. The record is from RNAcentral.